Molecule: long non-coding RNA, 403 nt
Filed under: Panax ginseng (ginseng)
Lineage: Eukaryota; Viridiplantae; Streptophyta; Magnoliopsida; Apiales; Araliaceae
Description: long non-coding RNA (PGIN_LNC010449)
Source: RNAcentral
CUCUCUGAUUGAGAGCGCAGAGCAUUCGACCCUCUGUUCCGUGAUCAGGAACGCCUUGUCUGAUUUGAAUUUGGAUCUGUUAACCAACCGUGCUUUGUUUGGCAAUAUGAGUAGUGGAGUGGAGUUUCUGGAGUAUUUGUUUUGGCGACAACUCCUGUUAUGUUAUGCAUCACUACUCCCAACACAAUUGCCCAAUUGGCAAUUGCUCCCCUAGCCUAGCUAACUCGGCAGUCGGCACACCAACAACUGUAGGUCGGCUCAUCGGCAAUAACGAUCCUAUUGCAAAUCCAAUUCAGUAACAUGCACCUCCUCAUAUUUAAUGAAUAAAUAAUUGCUUAUUUGUUCGUAUUGUUUGACCAGGCUGUCCCAUACGACUUUGAAUUGAAUAUAUUAAGUAGUCCCA